GACGAACCGUACAAACGUUAUUCGGAAUUACUGGGCUUAAAGGGUGCGUAGGCGGCUCGGUAAGUUGGGUGUGAAAUCCCUCGGCUCAACCGAGGAACUGCGCCCAAUACUGCCGGGCUCGAGGGAGACAGAGGUGAGCGGAACUUGCGGUGGAGCGGUGAAAUGCGUUGAUAUCGCAAGGAACACCUGUGGCGAAAGCGGCUCACUGGGUCUCUUCUGACGCUGAGGCACGAAAGCUAGGGGAGCGAACGGGAUUAGAUACCCCUGUA
RNAcentral lists this ribosomal RNA (269 nucleotides) under uncultured prokaryote. Its description in RNAcentral is "partial 16S ribosomal RNA". It matches the Rfam family "Bacterial small subunit ribosomal RNA", at positions 524 to 792 of the family's 1533-position model. The record is from RNAcentral.